RNAcentral lists this long non-coding RNA (1941 nucleotides) under Sus scrofa (pig). RNAcentral describes it as "lncRNA (ENSSSCG00035002090.1)". The record is from RNAcentral. Lineage: Eukaryota; Metazoa; Chordata; Mammalia; Artiodactyla; Suidae.
CUCUUAGGAAAAUAAGAGGCUUUGGGGAACUAUCUGUAGAACUUCUUUUGAAGAAUGCUCCAGAGGCAGUUGUGAUCAGCCAUCUACAAACUCAUGAUAGUCCUUGUUGAAUCAAUUUCAAUGUGAGCCCUUUGAGAAUAGUUGAAGAAAUGUAGAAUAAAGAUUUAAUUCCACAAAGAGAGGUUACAAAGACCCAUGAAAUCAAAAGAUUACUGUGAAAUAGUUUGCAUCUAAUUAGAAUUGGAGUGUCAGGUAUAAAGAAAAAUGAAACUUCUUGAUAUGUUAUGUAUGUAUAUGCUUACAUAUAUAUAUGAGAUACUGCUUAAUAUGUUAAAUAUAUAUGAAGUUCUUUAAGCAGUUUUCAUUAGCAACUUAUAUUGUAAGGUAGAAAAAGACAUCUAGACUUCAUUUGCAUUUCCAAAGGGAAAUGAAAAAAUGAGAAAAUAAAUAAUUCCAUUUCAUUUUUUUCGCAACGGAUAACUACUCUAAGAAAAACUAGUUAUUUAUUUAAAUUGAUUGAAAAGUGAUAUUAUUCCCCCUCCUUUUCUUGAUAUAUGUAAAGAGGCUAGAAGGUAAAAAAAAGAAAUCCUGAAGUGUUUUGGAGAACAGAUCUAUCAGUUAGAUAAGUAUGCGGAAUUCUUGAGAUGAAAAAGUUGAGUAUAUUUAACAUCAUUUAUUAAGGAACUUUCUCUCUUAAGUUCUUCAGUAAGUGGAUAUUUAGGUGACAAAAUAUUGUUUAAUAUCAGAAAACGCAGUCCUUAAAUCUCAAGACUUUUGCUUAAACUUGGAUUCCCAAAAUAUUCUUCUUCAUUGAUAUUGUAAUAUUCUCUCUAUAUGAUUAGGAACUAAUUUAUUAUUUUUAUUUUUUUGCUUUUUAGGGUGCACCUGUGGCAUAUGAGGUUCCUAGGCUAUGGGUCAAAUUGGAGCUACAACUGCCGGCCUACGUCAGAGCCAUAGCAGUGCCAGAUCCUUAACCCACUGAAUGAGUCCAGGGAUCGAACCUGCAACCUCAUGGUUCCUAGUUGGAUUUGUUUCUGCUGUACCACAAUGGGAACUCCAGGAAACAAUUUAGCACAUUAUUAUAGUUUAGCAUUCUCCAGGUUUUUGUGUUUUGUUUUCUUCUUUUUCUUUUUUCUUUUUAGGGGACAAAUCUGUGGCAUAUGGAAGUUCCCAGGCUAGCGGUCAAAAUCGGAGAGUAAUGCCAGAUCCGAGCUGCACCUGCAGCCUAGGCUGCAGCUUGUGGCAAUGCUGGAUCCUUAUCCCACUGAGCGAGUCCAAGGAUCAAACCCUGCAUCCUCACAGACACUAAUCAAGUUCUUGACCUGCUGAGCCACAAGGGAUACUCCUUGAUUUCUUUCUGUAUGUUGAAAUACCCUUGUAGUCAUGAGAUAAAUUCCCUUUAAUCUUAGCUUAGGAUCUUCUUAAUAUGCAGCUGGAUUCAGUUUGCUAGUAUUUUGCUGCGGAUUUUUACAUCCAUGUUCAUGAAGCAUGUGAUUUUCUUCCUCUGGGGUGUCUCCAUCCGGUUUUGGUAUCAGGGUAGUUCUGACUUCAUAGGCUGAUGGAAGAUUAGUCCUUCCUCUUCUCCUUUUUAGGAGAACUUGAGAAUGAUUAGUAUUAAAUUUUCUUUAAAUGUUUGGCAGCAUUCACCACUGAUGUCAUCUUUAGAACUUUCCUUUUCAAAAUGGGUAGGGAGUUCCCAUGGUGCUGCAGUGGAAAUGAAUCCAACUACAAAUCGUGAGGUUGCAGGUUUGAUCCCUGGCCUCGCUCAAUGGGUUAAGGAUCUGGUGUUGCCGUGAGCUGUGGUGUAGGUUGAAGAUGCAGCUUGUAUCUGAUGUUGUUGUGGUUGUGGUGUAGACCGGCAGCUGUAGCUCCCAUUGUACCCUAGCCUGGGAACCUCCAUAUGCUACGAGUGCAGCCCUAAAAAGCCAAAAAAAAAAAAAA